GAUGAACGCUAGCUGCAGGCUUAACACAUGCAAGUCGAGGGGCAGCAUGGGGGUUGCUUGCUAGCCGCGAUGGCGACCGGCGCACGGGUGAGUAACGCGUAUGCAACCUGCCCUGCACCACCGGAUAACCCGGCGAAAGAAGGCCGAAUACCGUCUAUGGUCGAUAGAGGGGAUCCGCUAGGCACCGCACGAUUGGCGCGGCGGAUAUGGGAUGCGCCCGAUUAGCCGGACGGCGGGGUCACGGCCGACCGUGGCUACGAUCGCUAGGGGUUCUGGGAGGAAGGUCCCCCACACUGGAACUGAGACACGGUCCAGACUCCUACGGGAGGCAGCAGUGAGGAAUAGUGGUCAAGGGGCGUAAGCCUGAACCAGCCAAGUAGCGUGCAGGAUGACGGCCCUAUGGGUUGUAAACUGCUUUUAUGCGAGGAUAAAGUGGCACACGUGUGGGCUUUUGCAGGUACCGCAUGAAGAAGGACCGGCUAAUUCCGUG
Molecule: ribosomal RNA, 490 nt
Filed under: uncultured bacterium
Lineage: Bacteria
Description: partial 16S ribosomal RNA
Rfam family: Bacterial small subunit ribosomal RNA
Source: RNAcentral